AUUGAACGCUGGCGGCAGGCCUAACACAUGCAAGUCGAACGAGUGGCGGACGGGUGAGUAAUGUCUGGGAAACUGCCUGAUGGAGGGGGAUAACUACUGGAAACGGUAGCUAAUACCGCAUACCAUCAGAUGUGCCCAGAUGGGAUUAGCUAGUUGGUGGGGUAAAGGCCUACCAAGGCGACGAUCAGUAGCGGGUCUGAGAGGACGAUCCGCCACACUGGGACUGAGACACGGUCCAGACUCCUACGGGAGGCAGCAGUGGGGAAUAUUGCACAAUGGGCGCAAGCCUGAUGCAGCCAUGCCGCGUGUAUGAAGAAGGCCGUCGGGUUGUAAAGUACUUUCAGCGGGGAGGCGUUACCCGCAGAAGAAGCACCGGCUAACUCCGUGCCAGCCGCCGCGGUAAUUC
RNAcentral lists this ribosomal RNA (406 nucleotides) under uncultured bacterium. Its description in RNAcentral is "partial 16S ribosomal RNA". It matches the Rfam family "Bacterial small subunit ribosomal RNA", at positions 30 to 526 of the family's 1533-position model. The record is from RNAcentral.